Molecule: long non-coding RNA, 8495 nt
Organism: Papaver somniferum (opium poppy)
Lineage: Eukaryota; Viridiplantae; Streptophyta; Magnoliopsida; Ranunculales; Papaveraceae
Exons: 3
Source: RefSeq, a predicted model, not a curated record
ACUAAUUUUUGAAGGGGUAAGGUAAUUGAGCGAAAUCUUUGUUCACUCAACACUCCCAUCUUCACUAUAAAUAGACCUCACUCUCCAAGAUCACUCAACAUAUUAAUUUUCACUUCACAACCUCAGUUUUUUCUUUGUUAAAGUUUAUCGGGCUGUUCAUUAGAAAUCAUGACUUGCACUUAAGGUUUAUCGGGCUGUUCAUUCGGCACUAGCCGUGCAGGAAGCAAGAUGUACCUAGACUUUGGCGAGAGCACUAACACUCAAACCCCGACCAUCGUAGGUGUUUCUUCUCAGAAACUGUUUUUUGAGGGAUCAGAAAUGAGAAUAGAAGAACUAUCAAAAGAUUAUACGAUUAAGCGGAAGCGGGUAUCGGUUCAUACCUUGAACUUGAGCUCCGAUUAGCAAGAACAAGCAGCAACAACAACAACGUUUCAACACGACGAUCAACGGGUACUACAAUCUCCAAAGAUGAACACAAACUUGAUUCACAGGCUAAGAACUUAAAACCUUUAUCUCGUUAUGGUAACUCUCUUUUAGGGUUAGAGUAAUCACUUUUCUAAUGGUAAAACCCUAUGUGUGAUAUAGGUGGGAAUCACCUAACCCUUUACACAUAUAGGUUCCAAACCCUAAGGAAUAUGGAACCCUACCGGGCUUACCACAUACAAUAUGGACGACCAUAUUCGGAUCCAACCCGAAUAUCUAACAUCUCCCACUCGCACAUAGUGUGUGUGGAUUAUACCAGAAGAAAAAAAAGUUCAUAUUAUGAUAUGGCACAAGCGAAAGAAAUUAGAAAAGUAACAGACCAAGGAGAAUCCACUCCCAAAACGUAACACUCACUCAAAUCUAGGAGCUACGACAAUCUCUAAUCCAAGAGUUAAAACGAUAAACAAUAGUAUAAACCAAACAACUUAAGAGUUUUCAUUAAUCAGAUAAAAGUGAGCCAAACCAAGCUACCUUACAAUGACAAGAACAACGAAUACUUAUAGUUUAACUAAACCCUAACAAACCUUUGACCGAACAGAACUUCACAUACGUGUGAAGUUUAUCCUAAUCAUCUAACAGAAUUAUAGCAAAUCCUAACAAUGAUACGACUAAACAGAUAAUAAGGACCGGGUCCGAGACUCAUGAUAGACAUCCUAUAUACGUCCCGUAUCAGGCUUCCCUACUGCGAAGAAACUCUUCUCGAGUUUACAAUGAAUGAGGCAAGUCAGAAACAAAGCACUUGACUGUCCUUACAUCGUUGCUUCAGUAGCGUAGCUUGCUGUCGAAUUAUGCAUGGGCGUAACAAAACGACUAAAACCCGAUAAAUGAUGACAUCCCCUCUGUUCUUGUAUACUGGAUUUGAGCUGAUGCUUUUGUACAAAUCCAUAAACAAAAGUUAGAGAUUCCAUUCCUAGCAUAUGAACGUAAUCACAAGAGCCUCCAGAAGAUAUGGUUUUUACUUUAUAAUAUAUAGCAAAUGCAUCUUCAUAUUGAUAGGGAACUGACAACGCCACAUCCAUUGCCAUCGACUUCUUGGUCGAAACCAAGAUGUCGCCAUGGUGAGAAACAGCCAUGAGAUCUAUCUCGGAUGAUUUUGGCACCAACAUUAAGUCUCCACAUGUGUCCACUUGUAAAACCAUGGUAAUUGUUGUCUCAGUUUCCUUGAUUGUUUUCUUAUGCAAACCCAUCAACUGCCUGGUAUAACUUCUCAGGCUUUACAGAAGCAUUACUGACAAACUCCUUACUGUCUUCGUCUCCUUGCGAAGGUCUAGAACCUAACAUUAGAAUUACCUUUGUCUUUCCCACCCGGAACUCAUACAAGUUGUUGCUUCGGCUGCUACGAACUGCUCGAACAUUAAAUAACCAAGACGUACCCAACACAACAUCACAAGCAUCCAUGUCAACAACUUCACAAAAGAUUGUGUCAGAGUAACACUUACCGAUUGAAACUGGAACUUUGCAAACACUCAUACAGGUAAUUACCCCGUCGUCGUUGUUUACCCAUUUAAUCUGGCCCGGUACGGGAUACCAGUCCACCUCAUAACCCAAUGCUUUCACCAUUUUGAUCGAAACCAAAUUCUGUUCACAACCACCAUCAACAAUAAAAUCACAGAUUCUGUUUUCCACUAUGUAUCGACAUGGAAAGUACUAUUUUGACCCUGCAUCUUGACUCGUGCACAGGAGACAGGACCUUUUCAACACGUAAAACAUAUAAUCCCAAAUUGAAAACCUUGAUUUCCAAAACUCCGAAUCCCUAAUUAAUCGAAGAGUCAGAGAUCUUACCUAGAGAUCACAGGAAUCCUCGACCGAUUCUUCUAGGCGGCCUCACAGAAGAACAUCGCAGGAAAACCUUCUCUGAUACCACCUGAUAUGGCACAAGCGGAAGCAAUUAGAAAAGUAACAGAUCAAGGAGAAUCCACUCCCAAAACGUAACACUCAGUCCAAUCCAGGAGCUACGACAAUCUCUAAUCCAAGAAUUAAAACGAUAAACAAUGGUAUAAACCAAACAACUUAAGAGUUUUCAUUAAUCAUAUAAAAGUGACCUAAACCAAGCUACCUUACAAUGACAAGAACAAUGAAUACUUGUAGUUUAACUAAACCCUAACAAACCCUUGACCGAACAGAACUACACAUAUGUGUGAAGUUUAUCCUAACUAUCUAACAGCAUUAUAACAAAUCCUAACAAUGAUACGACUAAAAAGAUAAUAAGUACCGGGUCCGAGACUGAUGAUAGACAUCCUAUAUACGUCCCGUAUCAUAUUAGUAAAUAGCAUGUGCGACCGUCGAGGUACCUGAAUUUUGGGAGCUUCAUACUAGCAGCUCAAUAUGAGUUAGCAUAGAGACAUCAACCCUUUUAAAAAUGUUUGUAUCUCGUAGUAUCCUAGGUCCAUAAAAAUCUCAUUGGUCUAGACUACUCUGAUCCCUCGUAGAGCUAGUCUAACCCUCAUGCUAGCUUAUUGUAUCACAAUAACCACUGAGACGUAGAUCUGAACCCUUGUAGCAUAACAUGAGGUCGCUCGUCCCUUUGAGAUACCUUAGUAUCCUCAUGACCGCUUACCAUUGUUCAAAACCAGGAUUCGACUGGUACCGACUAACUAAUCCAAUAGCAUAGCAUAUGUCAGGCCGAGUACACAUCAUACCAUACAUCAGAAUACCAAUUGCGUUGGAAUAUGGUACUCGUGACAUCUUGUCUUUCUCUUCAGGGGUAUUAGGGCACAUCUCAAGGCUUAAGUUCUGACCUUUAGCAACUGGUGUGUCUAUGGGCUUGCAAUCUUUCAUGUGAAAUCGCUCAAGAACCCUUUUAAUGUAUGUCUCUUGUGACAUACCCAAAAGUCUCUUUGAACGAUCUCUAAGGAUCUUAAUCCCGAGCACAUAGCUUUCUUCUCCCAUGUCCUUCAUCUCAAAAGUUGAGGACAACCACUCUUUUGUGGCGACAACAAUUUCCAUGUUACUUCCAUCUAUAAGGAUAUCAUCAACAUAUAAGGACAAGAUAAGGAAAUAUUUAUCGGACCGUUUAACGUUCACACAAUGGUCUUCCUCUAUCAUCAUAAACCCAUUGGAAAUAAUGGCUCGAUCAAAUUUUAAAUACCAUUGUUUAGAUGAUUGUUUUAUGCCAUAAAUAGAUUUUUGGAGCUUGGAAACUUUGCGCUCUUGACCUUUAAUCACGAAGCCCUCUGGUUGCUCCAUGUAAGUUUCCGCAUCUAGUUCUCCAUUGAGAAAUGCAGUUUAACAUCCAUUUGAUGAAGUUCCAAAUCCAUAUGUGCGACAAUAGCUAGCAUAAGGUGUAUCGAGGAAAUUAUCACCACAGGGGAGAAAGUUUCCUCGUAGUCAACACCCUCCUGUUGGAUGUAACCUUUCGCCACAAGGAGAUCCCUAUAUCUUUCAUCUAAACCAUCCCAUUGCGUUUGACUUUGAAAACCCAUUUAUUUCCAAUAGCCUUGCGCCCUUCUGGGAGGUCAACGUAUUGCCGCACACCAUUUAUCCUCAUUGAUUAUAUCUCUUCUUCCUGUGCAAUAAUCCAUUUUUCCCUUUUAGGAGAUGACAUAGCCUCUUUAAAAUUCUUAGGCUCUGCGUCAUCAUGUGAACAAACCAUGAAACUUUCCCCCUCAAUCUGAAAACGACGACGAAGGAAUUUUCCACGUUCACUUCUCCGAGAUCGGGGAUCCUGAUUUGAUGAAGACAAUCCAUUAUCAAGUGGAACACUCCCACUUUCCCUAGGAGAACGAGGAAUUUCUUCGUGAUUCUCAACUAGACGAAUUGGUGUGUCUUCCAUUGACACUUCCACCUCAAAGAGGCUAAGAUAUCCCCCUACCUCGUUCAUUCUAGGAAAAUCCUGUUCUAGGAAAUCUGCAUCACGUGACUCAAUCUCAGUUACACUUCCAUCAGGAUGCUCACCAAUGAACACAUGGCCUUUUGAGUGAUCAGAAUAUCUGAUAAAGAUACACUUUUCGCUCGAGGGCCCAACUUUCCAUACCGAUGAGAACUGUUGUAUACAUAAGAAGAUGAACCCCAUGGUCGCAAAUUAACCAAUUCAGGUUUUCUGCCGGUCCAUAAUUCAUAUGGGAUGGAAGGCACUGACUUCGAAGGCACACGAUUAAGGACAUAGGAAGCAGUCAGUAACACAUCUCCCCAAAAAGAAAUAGGAUGAUGAGCUUGCGCCAUCAUUGACCUAACCAUAUCUAACAAAGUACGAUUCCUUCUCUCUACUUCACCAUUUUGUUGCGGAGUACCAGGAACAGUCAAUUGUCUCAGGAUCCCUUUUUUCUCACAAUACCCUUUGAAUAGUUCAGAUAGAUACUCGCGGCCACGAUCAGUUCUGAGAGCCUUAAUGCUCUUAUUUUAGUUGAUUUUCAACUUCGCAUACAUAGCGUCUAAAGCAGUCCAAUGCUUCUGUUUUGUGGGAUAUCAAGUAAAUAUGACCAUAGCGCGUAAAGUCAUCUAUGAAAGUGAUGAAAUAAGAGUAUCCAUGUCUUGCAUUAACGUUCAUUGGGACACAUAUAUCAGAAUGAAUUAAUUGCAAAGGCUCAGAGGUCCUUUUGGCUGUCCCAAACGGUUUUCUGAUGGUUUUACCUGCAAGACAAUGUUCACAGGUAGGCAAGGAGAUUUUAGCGAUGGGGCCUAAAAGACCUUCUCUAGCUAGCCUAGUCAUCCUUUCUUUCCCUAUAUGACCUAAUCUAGCAUGCAAAAUCACAGAAUCAUUAUUAACAUCUAAGAAAGACGCAACUAAUUAAAUAUAUUUAUUAACAUCAUAAGAACUAGAAUUUUCAAUAUACAAAACCAUAAAACCAUCUGACAUAAAACCAAAACCAUAAAACUCAGUUUCCAAGCAAAUCUUAACAAAAUUACCGUCAAAAAGAAAACCAAAGCCUAGACGCAACAUACUAUUAACUGAAACUAAAUUUUGUCGAAUAUCUGAAGCAUAAAGUACAUCGUGGAGGAUUAACGUGCGCCCUUGUUGCAGAUUUAGCAUAUAGGUACUGAUGCCAAGUACUUAUAUGCUAGUUGUGUUCCCCAUAUAAACUUUCAUGCUCCCAACAGGAACUUGACGAUAAUCUAGGAACCCAUCUCGGUCCCUCGCUACAUGGUCGGUUGCUCCCGAAUCUACAACCCACAAAUGAGGAGAAUGAGCAACUAAUGCUUGACUAGAAACAAAACAUUCAUAGCGAGCAAUAGAUUCAAAAAUUACCUUCUUUGGCUAAGUGCAUUCACGAGAAAAGUGUCAUUUCUUAUCACAGUUAAAGCAUUUCAUCUCUGCUUUGUCUUUAUUACCAUCACGCUUCCCUCUUUUGCGCUUAGGAGCGUUGGUAGUGUAUGACACAGAUCCAUCACGAGGAUUCUUAGCAGAAGAACCCUUACCCCUCUUGCGCUUAGACCCAUUGGUCUUAUGCUAAACAGAUUCAGCAGCAAAAACAGAACUGUCAGUCUUAGCAGCUUCCAAGCGCUCGGCUUCUAGUUCCACAUGACGAGAAAUAUCCUCAAAAGUGCGGAAAUUAUCAUUAUGUGUCAUGUUUUGCUUCAUAUGCUCCCAAGAGUUAGGUAACGAACGAAUAACAGCUUGUACAUGUUGUUCAUCUGUCAAGUGAUGACCUGCAGCCUCAAGUUCGUGUAUCAUUGACGACAUUGUCCUCAAAUGUUGCUUCAUUUUAACAUUCGGCUUCUUUUGACAAGUGUCAAACUUCAUAGUUAAAGCGCGCAACUUAGCCACAAAGGUAACUCCAGAUUUCUGCCUGACUGCCUCUAACAUGUCAUGAGCAAACUGGUGGUUCUCAAACUCCCCAAUGAGAUCAUUGUGCAUUGAGCUCAGGAUCAUAUGACGAGCACUGGGAUCCUUAUUAAUCCAUUCCUAGUAAGCCUCGAGGUUGAGACGGUGUUGUACCGUCGUACCUUCCUCAGGCCGAGGCAUCACAUGCUCAGUUAUUUCCUGCAUCCCAUCAUCAUUCAAGAGAAAAACGAUCUUUCGGCGCCAGAUAUUCUAGUUGUAUCCAUCAAGUUUUUCACCCUUGUUCAAAUUAGAAAUGAUGUUCUUGGAAGCCAUUUAGUCUAACAUAGAAGGCGAAAAAUAAGAAAAAGGAUAUUAAACUUAUGGCACUAUACACAUAUUCAAAAAAAAUAACUUUCCAGGAUUAAUCUAAAUAAAUAGCAAAACAACAUUACAAGUCGCAAGAUCGAAAAAUCGUUAAACUCCUAAUCAUCUCUCGCGCCACAGGUAAUAUUUUCUACAUCAAUUUAAUAUAUCUGCAAGUUAAUGGUUUUGGGAAUUAAACAAACUCAACCAAACAACCUCCCACUCAAUUUUUUUAACAUGUUAUUCAAUCAAAAUAGUAAUUCAAUCAAACAUGUUAUCAAACAAAGAUGAUUAUUUAAUCAAUUAACAUGUUAUAUAUACAUACAAUUCAGUAAGAUAUGAAUUCAAUCCAGCACCAUACAUGUUUUAUAUUAAGGAAAUUAGACAAUCACAACAUUAAACCAUUCACAUGAUAUCAUAGAUAAAGCGAUUAACCAUAUAAUUCAAAGAAACUCUAUCAUGUGAAUAUAAUUAGGUUCUGAAAAUAGUUUCAUUGAAUUCGGAGCGGCGAAAAACCUUAGGGUACCAAAAUUAGAGUUGAUCCAACAACCACAAAUAGAGAAACAAAUGAAAAACAAAUAACCCGGUCUGAACCGCGAACCAAACCGCCAGUCUGGACAGUAAACCGAACCGUUGGUAUAAAUCGAGAACCGAACCACCGGUCUGAACCGCGAACAAACGGUCGGUCUGAACCGAGAACUGAACCACCGAUCUGAACCGCGAACCGAACCAUCGGUAUGAACCGCGAACUGAACCAUCGGUCUGAACCGCGAACCGAACCGCCGAUCCUAGAUCGGGUUGACUCUCCGAUUUGACUCGGUUCAAAUCGCCGAUUUGAAUCGGUUACUGUUCAUCAUCUUCUCCAAAUUUCAGCAGCGUACAGACGCACAUGACCAACUUUGGGAGACGAUAUCUCACUCAUACAAGCUCCGAUUCAAGCAAAUAAUAUGUCAAAUGAAAGCUCUCAAAGAGCACUAUAUAUCUAAAUUAAUUUUAAUUAACAUAGAUCAACUUAUAUACAUCAAAACAAUCAUCAAACCAAUGCUCACAAACAUGAUAUAAAACUAGGGUUUGAAUCAAUAAUGAACAUACCAAUUAAAUAUUUCAAAACGAAACACCCGUAUCAAGAUCCGAAAGAUUCAUACAUCCAUUAAUGGUUUUUAACCCAAAAAAAAACAAUAAGAACCCUAAUCAUGAUACUAUCAUGUUAUCAGCAACUUUCAAGCAACCAAAGCAAGUUAUAUCAAGCACGAAAACGUAGCAUAACCAAUACACUAGUACAAAAAUGCCCUUUCGUCACGCUAAUUUACUGUGACCAAAUAUUUAUGGUCAUGGUGACUCAUUUUUUAAAACCGUGACGAAAGCCUGCGAGGCCAAAAGUCUAACACUACAAAAAACUUGAGCAUUGGCAACCAAGCUAGUUUGGUUGCCGAAUAUGAGUUUUUAGUUGCCAAACACAUUGGCAACUAAUGGUAGUUGCGGAGCCUAAGUUGUCGUAUGGGGUGUUUCCAAAUGUAAAGGCAAUUACUAAAAAUACAUAGUUGCCAUGGUUUCAUUUGGCAACUUAUGUUACAGGAGCCAAAUACGUUACUUAGUUAAAUGCAAUUAAUUAAAACCACAAAAUUUUGCAGUUGUUCUAGAGUUGCCAAACAUAUUAACAACAUAAUCAUCGUAAUUGUCAGUAACUUUCCACAUAAUAUGGCAACUAAAUUAAAAUCUUGUUGUGGAUUUAUUUAACAAUUAAUUUGGUGGUAGCCAAAUAAUAUGAUUUCAUAAUUUCAAUAGGUAUAGACAAUUAAGUUGAAGUUGAUUGAUAGUUAUCGAAUCGUUAAACAAUUAAAUUUACUAGUUGGCAUAUGGUUCCCAAAUCAUUCCGCAACUGUGAUAUUGUAAUUAUAAUUCCGCAACUGUGAUAUUCAUUCCGCAACUGUGAUAUUGUAAUUAUUUU